Molecule: non-coding RNA, 139 nt
Organism: Marchantia polymorpha subsp. ruderalis
Lineage: Eukaryota; Viridiplantae; Streptophyta; Marchantiopsida; Marchantiales; Marchantiaceae
Source: the annotation of a GenBank genome assembly
AUCACGAGUCAACAACGUCCUUAACGUGUGCAUGGACUCUCGUAAGCAUGAACUUGGAGUCCAUACCUUACAAAAGUAUGGAUUUAAGUUCAUGCUCACGAUAUCCAAGCGCCCGCUAAGGUCGCAAGGAUUUAUUGAU